RNAcentral lists this ribosomal RNA (1895 nucleotides) under marine metagenome. RNAcentral's name for it is "bacterial LSU rRNA". It matches the Rfam family "Bacterial large subunit ribosomal RNA", at positions 1 to 1977 of the family's 2925-position model. The record is from RNAcentral.
UCAAGCGCGAAAAGGGCGUUUGGUGGAUGCCUUGGCAGUAAGAGGCGAUGAAAGACGUGAUACUCUGCGAUAAGCCAUGGGGAGCUGAGAAUAAGCUUUGAUCCAUGGAUUUCUGAAUGGGGCAACCCACCUGAAUGUUUGUUAUUGUUACCCUUUUGGGUGUCAAUAAUGAGCAUAAACAGGUACUUAUUACCUGAAUACAUAGGGUUUUAAGAGCAAACCCGGGGAACUGAAACAUCUAAGUACCCGGAGGAAAGGAAAUCAAUUAGAGACUCUGUUAGUAGCGGCGAGCGAACGCGGACCAGCCAAGCCUGAUAAGUGACCAGAAUGACCUGGAAAGGUCAGCCAUAGUGGGUGACAGCCCCGUAUGGGAAGCUUUGAAGGAUGUAUUAAGUAGGGCGGGACACGUGAAAUCCUGUUUGAAGAUCGGGGGACCACCCCCGAAGGCUAAGUACUCCUUACUGACCGAUAGCGAACCAGUACCGUGAGGGAAAGGUGAAAAGCACCCCGACGAGGGGAGUGAAACAGUUUCUGAAACCGGACGCCUACAAUCAGUUGGAGGGCCCUUGCGGCCUGACAGCGUACCUUUUGUAUAAUGGGUCAUCGACUUAGUGUAUCUAGCAAGCUUAAGCCGUUAGGUGUAGGCGCAGCGAAAGCGAGUCUUAAUAGGGCGAUUGAGUUAGAUGCAUUAGACCCGAAACCGAGUGAUCUAGGCAUGACCAGGUUGAAGGUUGGGUAACACCAACUGGAGGACCGAACCCACAUCUGUUGAAAAAGAUCGGGAUGAGUUGUGCCUAGGGGUGAAAGGCCAAUCAAACUCGGAGAUAGCUGGUUCUCCGCGAAAUCUAUUUAGGUAGAGCGUCAUCCGAAUACCCCGGGGGGUAGAGCACUGGAUGGGUAAUGGGGCCCCACAGGCUUACUGAUCCUAACCAAACUCCGAAUACCCGGGAGUAAUAGAUGGCAGACACACUGCGGGUGCUAACGCCCGUAGUGAAAAGGGAAACAACCCUGACCGACAGUUAAGGCCCCUAAUUCAUGGCUAAGUGGGAAAGCAGGUGGGACGACCAAAACAACCAGGAAGUUGGCUUAGAAGCAGCCAUCUUUUAAAGAUAGCGUAACAGCUCACUGGUCUAAUUAAGUUGUCCUGCGGCGAAGAUGUAACGGGGCUCAAGCCAUGAGCCGAAACUUCGGAUGCAUUUAAUGCAUGGUAGCGGAGCGUAGUGUGACAUAGUUUCCUGUCUCUUUUGAUCCCUUUGGGGUCAUGGGAGACGCGAAGCUUUCUGUGAAGCCGGGCUGUAAGGCAUCCGGUGGAGAGAUCACUAGUGAGAAUGAUGACAUGAGUAGCGACAAAGAGUGUGAGAGACACUCUCGCCGAAAGUCCAAGGGUUCCUGCUUAAAGCUAAUCUGAGCAGGGUAAGCCGACCCCUAAGGCGAGGCCGAAAGGCGUAGUCGAUGGGAACCAGUUUAAUAUUACUGGGCCAGGAGAUGGUGACGGAUCGAAAGCGUAGUGACUCCUUAUCGGAUUGAAGUUGCUGCCGGACGGUUCCUGGAAAUAGCCCUCCAUUAGAUCGUACCCUAAACCAACACAGGUGGACUGGUAGAGAAUACCAAGGCGCUUGAGAGAACUACAUUGAAGGAACUCGGCAAAAUGCCUCCGUAAGUUCGCGAGAAGGAGGCCCCAUCAGAAGGCAACUUUUGGUGGGGGGCACAGACCAGGGGGUGGCGACUGUUUACUAAAAACACAGGGCUCUGCGAAGUCGCAAGACGACGUAUAGGGUCUGACGCCUGCCCGGUGCCGGAAGGUUAAAAGGAGGGGUGAGAGCUCUGAAUUGAAGCCCCGGUAAACGGCGGCCGUAACUAUAACGGUCCUAAGGUAGCGAAAUUCCUUGUCGGGU